AUCAACUUUCGAUGGUAGGAUAGAGGCCUACCAUGGUGGUAACGGGUAACGGGGUGUUAGGGCACGACACCGGAGAGGGAGCCUGAGAAACGGCUACCACAUCCAAGGAUGGCAGCAGGCGCGCAAAUUACCCAAUCCCGACACGGGGAGGUAGUGACAAUAAAUAACAAUACGGGGUUCUUUCGGAUUUCGUAAUUGGAAUGAGUACAAUUUAAAUCUCUUAACGAGGAACAAUUGGAGGGCAAGUCUGGUGCCAGCAGCCGCGGUAAUUCCAGCUCCAAUAGCGUAUAUUAAAGUUGCUGCAGUUAAAAAGCUCGUAGUUGAAUUUCGGGACCAAUAUGUCGGUCGUGCCUCGGUACGUACUGGCAUCGUUGGUUUCUCCCUUCUGGCGAACCAUGAUGUCAUUUAUUUGGUGUCGUGGGGAAUCAGGACUGUUACUUUGAAAAAAUUAGAGUGUUUAAAGCAGGCUCACGCUUGAAUACAUUAGCAUGGAAUAAUGAAAUAGGACGUUUGAUUCUAUUUUGUUGGUUUCUAGGAUUGACGUAAUGAUUAAUAGGGAUAGUUGGGGGCAUUAGUAUUCAAUUGUCAGAGGUGAAAUUCUUGGAUUUAUUGAAGACUAACUACUGCGAAAGCAUUUGCCAAGGAUGUUUUCAUUAAUCAAGAACGAAAGUUAGGGGAUCGAAGACGAUCAGAUACCGUCGUAGUCUUAACCAUAAACUAUGCCGACUAGGGAUCGGAUGAUGUUAAUUUUUUAAUGACUCAUUCGGCGCCUUACGGGAAACCAAAGUGUUUGGGUUC
This 798-nucleotide ribosomal RNA is filed under the name uncultured Glomus. Its description in RNAcentral is "SSU rRNA". It matches the Rfam family "Eukaryotic small subunit ribosomal RNA", at positions 314 to 1114 of the family's 1831-position model. The record is from RNAcentral. Lineage: Eukaryota; Fungi; Glomeromycota; Glomeromycetes; Glomerales; Glomeraceae.